AUGCAAGUCGAACGAAGGCUUCGGCCUUAGUGGCGCACGGGUGCGUAACGCWGUGGGAAUCUGCCCUUGGGUUCGGAAUAACAGUUGGAAACGACUGCUAAUACCGGAUGAUGUCGCGAGACCAAAGAUUUAUCGCCCAGGGAUGAGCCCGCGUCGGAUUAGGUAGUUGGUGGGGUAAAGGCCUACCAAGCCGACGAUCCGUAGCUGGUCUGAGAGGAUGAUCAGCCACACUGGGACUGAGACACGGCCCAGACUCCUACGGGAGGCAGCAGUGGGGAAUAUUGGACAAUGGGCGAAAGCCUGAUCCAGCAAUGCCGCGUGAGUGAUGAAGGCCUUAGGGUUGUAAAGCUCUUUUACCCGGGAUGAUAAUGACAGUACCGGGAGAAUAAGCUCCGGCUAACUCCGUGCCAGCAGCCGCGGUAAUACGGAGGGAGCUAGCGUUGUUCGGAAUUACUGGGCGUAAAGCGCACGUAGGCGGCUUUGUAAGUCAGGGGUGAAAGCCUGGAGCUCAACUCCAGAACUGCCUUUGAGACUGCAUCGCUUGAAUCCGGGAGAGGUGAGUGGAAUUCCGAGUGUAGAGGUGAAAUUCKUAGAUAUUCGGAAGAACACCAGUGGCGAAGGCGGCUCACUGGACCGGUAUUGACGCUGA
Molecule: ribosomal RNA, 649 nt
Filed under: uncultured bacterium
Lineage: Bacteria
Description: bacterial SSU rRNA
Rfam family: Bacterial small subunit ribosomal RNA
Source: RNAcentral